CAUCCCAGGCUCCAGGACAUUGGGAGGGAAAGAAGCUUUAAAAGCAGAGCUUGGGACUUCCCAGGCAGUACAGUGGUUAAGACUCUGUGCUCCCUAUGUAGGGGGCACAGGGUUCGAUCCCUGGUCAGGGGACUAAGAUCCUAUAUGCCACACAGCAUGCCCCCCCCCCAAAAAAGUAAAAGAAAAUAAUAAUAAAAAAAUAAAAGCAGAGCUGAGUUUCUGGGUGUAUACUCAAAAGAACUGAUUUUUUUAAAGUUCUCUCCAACAGAUAUUUGUACACCCAUGUUCCUAGCAGCAUUAUUCACAAUAGCCAAAAAUGUGGAAACAACCCAAACGUCCAAUUAGUGGAUGAAUGGAUAAACAAAGAGUGAUUAUAUACAUACAAUGGAAUAUUAUUCAGCCUUCAAAAAGAAGGAUUUAUAGUCUAACGUGUGUUACAAAUGGAUGAACCUUGAAGACAUUAUGCCAAGUGAAAUAAGCCAGUCACAAAAGGACAAAUAUUGUAUGAUUCCAUUUAUAUGAGGUACCUGGAGUAGUCAAACUCAUAGAGACAAAGUAGAAUGGUGCUUGCAGGGGGAGGGGGGAGAAUGGGGAGUUAUUGUUUAAUGGGUAUGGAGUUUCAAUUUGGGAAGAUAAAGUUCUGGAGAUAGACGACGGUGAUGAUUGCAUAACAAUGUGCAUGUACUUAAUGCCACUAAACUGUACACUUAAAAAUGGGUAAAAUGGUAAGUUUUAUAUCGUGUAUACUUUACCACACAAAAAAAGUAGAGCUGAGGUCCUUGAGGUGGGGAUUUUGAAGCUGUAAAUUUUGGAUCUAAAUGUUAAUGUGAUUUGCUAACAUGUGAGCAUCUCUGUUUUCUUCCCACCCUCACACUCCUUUCUAGCUAACAAGAGUUUUGUCUUUUGUCACUCAGAGUCUCCUCCUUCCAUGAAUUCUGAGAAGUUUUGAAUUUGCCAGCUAGGUUCCCUAACUUGGGAUGCAGAACUAGUAGACUGAAGAGAGAACAGACAGAAGAGGAAACUAGUUUGGGAGGGUCAGUGCUUUCUUCAGGAGGGAGCAUAGAAUAAAAUAAAGGUCACCACAGAGCAUUGUGUAGAGUUCCCUGAGCUAUACAGUUUUAAAAUCUGAUCAUAUCUGACGUAUUCUAGCUGUGUGACAUUGGGCAGGUCCAGACUUUCUCAGAUCUUCAUCUAAAAAAUGGAAUUAACACCACCUACCUUCCAGGUUAUUACAACAUGUUCAAUAUAGUUCCCUGUGCUAUAUAUACCAGGACCUCUGGUUUUUUAGCCGAGCACAUGGCUGGCUGGCUGGGAUAAAGACUGCAUCUGUUAGCUUCCCUGCAUGUGGGCAUGACCAUGUGACUGCUUUCUAGCCUAUGAGAUAGCCAUUAGUUGACAACUAGUAUUUCAUCUUGUGAAGAAACAUUUUUCCAAAGGUAAGUGAUUCCUUCAGCUUUAUAUCAACUUCUUUUUCUUCUGUUAAAUAUAUGUUCAAUGUCGUAAUUUUUAUUUUUAAAAGCGUAAAGACUAUGAUCCUUUUUUGUAAAAUUAUCUAUCCCUCUAUCUGCAAAUUCAUU
This is a long non-coding RNA of Orcinus orca (killer whale), 1577 nucleotides long. RefSeq lists it as uncharacterized. The transcript is spliced from 6 exons. The record is from RefSeq and is a predicted model, not a curated record. Lineage: Eukaryota; Metazoa; Chordata; Mammalia; Artiodactyla; Delphinidae.